Molecule: long non-coding RNA, 1133 nt
Organism: Physeter macrocephalus (sperm whale)
Lineage: Eukaryota; Metazoa; Chordata; Mammalia; Artiodactyla; Physeteridae
Exons: 5
Source: RefSeq, a predicted model, not a curated record
GCAUUUAAUUGUGAUUCUAAUAUUAAUGGAGAUAACACAUAACAUCUCUUGUUUUACUUUUUCUAUGUACACAAGAAAACUUGGAAUUGAAAAUAUUUUGGAAUGUGUUUAGGAGAACAGUCAUUUGAUUUAAACACGAUCUAAACAUAUGAUUCACACGGUCAAGUUUAGCUCGUGACAAGAGAAGAAUGGAGAUUGGAUUCUUUGCUGGGCCUAAGUAACUUGAGAUUGUCUGACGGGGACUUCCAUUAGCCCCGUGUUCACUAAAGCUUGCCACACCAUCAGCAAUGGUUUGCACCUUGCCUCAGCGUCUUCGUGGAUGCCAGGUGAGGAGUGGCAGUGAUGAGCAUGCCUUCUGUGGCUACACAGAGUCCACGGGUUUUCCAAGUCUUCAGAGGAGCACUUCAGUUUUCAGAAAUGGAAUGGUUCCUCUUUUUCCUGUUUCCUCAAUAUUUUCCUAAAAGACACAAACUUACAGAAGUUGUUUCUGAAAGUGGAGCUGACUGGAAAAGUACCCGAUUUUGUUUCUAAAUAUCUAUUUGUAGAAUUUUCCAAAGCCAGUCCGUCAGAGACAGGGGAUUCCAUCUCAAUCUACCUUGAAAGGCGAUCGAAUUUAACAAGCAUUUGUACUUUGUUCCAGACUCUAUGACUUUGAACAUUAAGCACUCACCCAGCCACUUUCCCUGGAGAGGUAAAGCUGCAUCAGGCAUGAAUCCAGUUCUCAAGGAGCUCACUGCCAAGCUCAGCAGGUGAGACAGAGAACGAGGGAAAAAGGCAUUGGUGCACAAGAACAAGAACCACGGGACCAGUAACUGGCGUCUUGUCCAGAGAGGCUGUGAGAAUCACUCCACUGCUUUUUCUUCAGGGUAACUUCAUCUCCCCACAUCAUGAUGUACUGUAAGGAUUGUGGGAAAUGCUUUGCCCCCUUUGGAUGAAAGGUGUAUUAUAUAAGGUCUGUAAAAGGUCUUUGGAUACGUUUAGAAAAAAAUAAGUGAUAGCAAUGAUAAUAAUAUCUAGCAUUUAUUGAAUGCUUAUUAUACGCCUGGCAUUAAACUAAAGAUGGGAAUACGGCUUUAAUCUGUAACUCUAUUUUAUAUCCGUUGAGCCCCAAAUUAUCAAAAUAUUUCUGUCUA